Molecule: ribosomal RNA, 498 nt
Filed under: uncultured bacterium
Lineage: Bacteria
Description: bacterial SSU rRNA
Rfam family: Bacterial small subunit ribosomal RNA
Source: RNAcentral
GCUGGCGGCGUGCCUAACACAUGCAAGUCGUGCGAGAAAAGGGUGGCAACACUCUGAGUAAAGCGGCGAACGGGUGAGUAACACGUAGGUAACCUGUCCUCGAGCCUGGGAUAACCUGUCGAAAGGCGGGCUAAUACCGGAUAUGACCGCAGGAGCAUCAGCUCCAGCGGUAAAAGAUGGCCUCUGCUUGCAAGCUAUCACUGGGGGAGGGGCCUGCGGGCCAUUAGCUAGUUGGUGAGGUAACGGCUCACCAAGGCGAAGAUGGCUAGCUGGUCUGAGAGGAUGGCCAGCCACACUGGGACUGAAACACGGCCCAGACUCCUACGGGAGGCAGCAGUCGAGAGGCUUCGGCAAUGGGGGCAACCCUGACCGAGCGACGCCGCGUGGAGGAUGAAGGCCGUUAGGUCGUAAACUCCUUUUAGGUGGGAAGAAAGGCGUUUGUGUUAACAGCACAGGCGUUUGACGGUACCGCCAGAAUAAGCUCCGGCCAACUCCGUG